GAUGAACGCUGACAGAAUGCUUAACACAUGCAAGUCUUUGGCGAAGCUGUGCUUGCACUGCCUAGCCAAGGCGGACGGGUGAGUAACGCGUAAGGAACUUGCCCUGCAGUCAGGGAUAACAGACGGAAACGACUGAUAAGACCUGGUAAAGUCAGGCGGACUCAUGUCCAGCCUGAUGAAAAGAGAUGCUGCAGGAGAGCCUUGCGUCCUAUUAGCUUGUUGGUGGGGUAACGGCCCACCAAGGCGAUGAUAGGUAGCCGGCCUGAGAGGGUGGACGGCCACAAGGGGACUGAGAUACGGCCCUUACUCCUACGGGAGGCAGCAGUGGGGAAUAUUGGACAAUGGGGGCAACCCUGAUCCAGCAAUUCUGUGUGCACGAUGAAGGUUUUCGGAUUGUAAAGUGCUUUCAGCAGGGAAGAAAAAAUGACGGUACCUGCAGAAGAAGCGACGGCUAAAUACGUG
Molecule: ribosomal RNA, 462 nt
Filed under: uncultured bacterium
Lineage: Bacteria
Description: partial 16S ribosomal RNA
Rfam family: Bacterial small subunit ribosomal RNA
Source: RNAcentral